RNAcentral lists this ribosomal RNA (815 nucleotides) under Camaenidae gen. sp. B FK-2010. RNAcentral's name for it is "partial 16S ribosomal RNA". The stretch from base 366 to 524 matches the Rfam family "Archaeal large subunit ribosomal RNA", at positions 1884 to 2089 of the family's 2987-position model. Lineage: Eukaryota; Metazoa; Mollusca; Gastropoda; Stylommatophora; Camaenidae. The record is from RNAcentral.
AUUAAAAUAGUUGGUUCUGAUUACACGAAACAAGAUGAGCUAUUUUGCAAUCUAUUUUCGUAGAGGAAAAAUGUAGCAUAAUUUAUAACAAAGUGUGAAAUAGGGGUGAUAGGCCUAUCAAAUCUUGAUAUAUCUUGAUGUCUUUGAAAUACAAUAGUAUUUAAAAAUUUAAAGAGUGAUUAGACUGUUUAAUAGCACGAAUCUUAGUAUUAGUAUCUUCUCAGGAUUAACAUUUAAGAAGAACAAAUCAUAAUAUUAAUUUUUGUUCAUUGUGUAAACUAAAAGAUAGUUUUUAAACAAAGAAAGAAAAUUUAUAAUGUUAUUAUAAGUACCUAAUAGGUAUUAUAAAUGAACUCGGCAAUACUCCUUUCAACUGUUUAUCAAAAACAUAGCCCGUAGUAUUUUUUGUGGGUGUUUUCUGCCCAAUGACGUACGUUAAAAGGCCGCAGUACCUUGACUGUGCAAAGGUAGCGUAAUCAUUUGACUUAUAAUUGAAGUCCUGUAUGAACGAAAACAUGGGAGGGGACUUUAUUUGUAAUAUAAUUUGAAUUUACUGAGUAAGUGCAAAUGCUUAUAUUGAAAUAAUAGACGAGAAGACCCUAAAAAUUUUUACGGCAUGUUUUAUAAUGUUUUUGUUGGGGCAACAAUGUAGCAAUUAACCUACAUUUUUUUACAUGACAUGUAAUAUAGGUAGAUCAAAUUACUUUAGGGAUAACAGCGUAAUAUUUACUUGUUUGCGACCUCGAUGUUGGACUAGGGAGCGAUUGCUUAGAAGGCAUAACGCCUUGCUCUGUUCGAGCAAAACACCCUACAUG